This 253-nucleotide ribosomal RNA is filed under the name uncultured bacterium. RNAcentral's name for it is "partial 16S ribosomal RNA". It matches the Rfam family "Bacterial small subunit ribosomal RNA", at positions 524 to 776 of the family's 1533-position model. The record is from RNAcentral.
UACAGAGGUCCCGAGCGUUGUUCGGAUUCACUGGGCGUAAAGGGUGCGUAGGUGGUGAGGUAAGUCGGAUGUGAAAUCUCCGGGCUCAACCCGGAAAUGGCAUUGGAAACUACCUUGCUGGAGGAUUUGAGGGGGGAUUGGAAUACUUGGUGUAGCAGUGAAAUGCGUAGAUAUCAAGUGGAACACCAGUGGCGAAGGCGGCAUCCUGGACCGGCAUUGACGCUGAGGCGCGAAAGCCAGGGGAGCAAACGGG